UGGUUUCUCAGCAUACUUAAUGAAUGCAUACAUGGGUACACCACUUAGAACAGCCACUAGCAAGUCCAACAACAAAUGUCAGAGUCCCAUCUCGGACGUGGAGCACAACGUAACUUUGUAAGGGGUACUAGUGAAGAAGCAAUGUGGCAUCCACUUGCAAAGAUAUGCAAUCUUCUCUACAGCCCACAGGCACCACAAAAUGGACAGAACUAACUUCAGCACAAACAAAAGACUAUCCCAGGUUCCCAACAAAUACUUGUCAGCACAAUGAAUCAAAAUCAUACCAUUUCGCUUUCCCAUUAGGCAAACUUUCAUACUCAUUGAUCUAUGUUCUUUCUCCACAUAUUCCUUGGAUGAUACUUCUAUCCUCAUUCCACUUGCAUAUUGAAACCAAAUAAUUCCCUUUCAAGUGACAACUUAUUGAUUUUUUUCAAUACAACACAAAGGCUAAACAAUUCAAAACCCCAACAAUUGUUAUCAAAAUCCCAAGAAAAAUAAAAGGGGCAGCAACUAAAAGAAACCCAUAUUCCAUUCAAAGCCACAAACCCCAUAAAAGAUAACAAGAAUCAAGCAAGACCGUAAAGUAUUUAUUUAGCUCAUAAAAAUCCCACAAUUACCAAUGGAUUCAUUUUCAGCCACAGCAAAAAUAAGCCAAUAUCGGAUAGUGCCCAAUGUAAGAGGCAUAGAUUCCCAUGGAUUAAACUUUAGGGUUUAAUGAAAGAUUUAAUUAAAAGAAUUAGGGUUUGGGUUAAGCGGAUUUACCCUCAUUUUUCCAUUUUGAGAACUGCAAGAAGCAGAAGUUUAUUCUAGCCUUAAACGGCGCCGCUUAAAUUGCAUAUAACCCGG
RNAcentral lists this long non-coding RNA (846 nucleotides) under Durio zibethinus. RNAcentral describes it as "long non-coding RNA (DZIB_LNC000676)". The record is from RNAcentral. Lineage: Eukaryota; Viridiplantae; Streptophyta; Magnoliopsida; Malvales; Malvaceae.